CUACGGGUGGCAGCAGUGGGGAAUAUUGGGCAAUGGGCGAAAGCCUGACCCAGCAACGCCGCGUGAAGGAAGAAGGUUUUCGGAUCGUAAACUUCUAUCCCAGGUGAAGAUAAUGACGGUAGCCUGGAAGGAAGCCCCGGCUAACUACGUGCCAGCAGCCGCGGUAAUACGUAGGGGGCAAGCGUUGUCCGGAAUGAUUGGGCGUAAAGGGCGCGUAGGCGGCCUUCUAAGUCCGAUGUGAAAGUCCUGCUUUUAAGGUGGGAAUUGCAUUGGAAACUGGAGGGCUUGAGUGCAGGAGAGGUAAGUGGAAUUCCCGGUGUAGCGGUGAAAUGCGUAGAGAUCGGGAGGAACACCAGUGGCGAAGGCGACUUACUGGACUGUAACUGACGCUGAGGCGCGAAAGUGUGGGGAGCAAACAGGAUUAGAUACCCCCGUAGUC
RNAcentral lists this ribosomal RNA (439 nucleotides) under uncultured bacterium. RNAcentral's name for it is "partial 16S ribosomal RNA". It matches the Rfam family "Bacterial small subunit ribosomal RNA", at positions 339 to 795 of the family's 1533-position model. The record is from RNAcentral.